AUUGAACGCUGGCGGCAUGCCUUACACAUGCAAGUCGAACGGCCGCACGGGAGCAAUCCUGGUGGCGAGUGGCGAACGGGUGAGUAAAGUAUCGGAACGUGCCCAGUCGUGGGGGAUAACGUAGCGAAAGUUACGCUAAUACCGCAUACGAUCUAUGGAUGAAAGCGGGGGAUCACAAGACCUCGCGCGAUUGGAGCGGCCGAUAUCAGAUUAGGUAGUUGGUGGGGUAAAGGCUCACCAAGCCGACGAUCUGUAGCUGGUCUGAGAGGACGACCAGCCACACUGGGACUGAGACACGGCCCAGACUCCUACGGGAGGCAGCAGUGGGGAAUUUUGGACAAUGGGCGAAAGCCUGAUCCAGCCAUGCCGCGUGCAGGAUGAAGGCCUUCGGGUUGUAAACUGCUUCUGUACGGAACGAAAAGGUUUGGCCUAAUAAGCUGAGCUCAUGACGGUACCGUAAGAAUAAGCACCGGCUAACUACGUGCCAGCCGCCGCCGUAA
RNAcentral lists this ribosomal RNA (500 nucleotides) under uncultured bacterium. RNAcentral's name for it is "partial 16S ribosomal RNA". It matches the Rfam family "Bacterial small subunit ribosomal RNA", at positions 30 to 523 of the family's 1533-position model. The record is from RNAcentral.